GACGUAGGGGGCCAGCGUUGUUCGGAAUUACUGGGUGUAAAGGGUUCGUAGGCGGUGCGGCAAGUUGGGAGUGAAAUCUCUGGGCUUAACCCAGAGGCUGCUUCCAAAACUGCUGUGCUUGAGUGUGGGAGAGGCGCGUGGAAUUGCAGGUGUAGCGGUGAAAUGCGUAGAUAUUGGGAGGAACACCAGUGGCGAAGGCGGCUCGCUGGACCGGUUCUGACGCUGAGGAACGAAAGCUAGGGGAGCAAACAGG
Molecule: ribosomal RNA, 253 nt
Filed under: uncultured bacterium
Lineage: Bacteria
Description: partial 16S ribosomal RNA
Rfam family: Bacterial small subunit ribosomal RNA
Source: RNAcentral